CAUGCAGUCGAGCGGACAGAUGGGAGCUUGCUCCCUGAUGUUAGCGGCGGACGGGUGAGUAACACGUGGGUAACCUGCCUGUAAGACUGGGAUAACUCCGGGAAACCGGGGCUAAUACCGGAUGCUUGUUUGAACCGCAUGGUUCAAACAUAAAAGGUGGCUUCGGCUACCACUUACAGAUGGACCCGCGGCGCAUUAGCUAGUUGGUGAGGUAAUGGCUCACCGAGGCGACGAUGCGUAGCCGACCUGAGAGGGUGAUCGGCCACACUGGGACUGANACACGGCCCCUACUCCUACGGGAGGCAGCAGUAGGGAAUCUUCCGCAAUGGACGAAAGUCUGACGGAGCAACGCCGCGUGAGUGAUGAAGGUUUUCGGAUCGUAAAGCUCUGUUGUUAGGGAAGAACAAGUACCGUUCGAAUAGGGCGGUACCUUGACGGUACCUAACCAGAAAGCCACGGCUAACUACGUGCCAGCAGCCGCGGUAAUACGUAGGUGGCAAGCGUUGUCCGGAAUUAUUGGGCGUAAAGGGCUCGCAGGCGGUUUCUUAAGUCUGAUGUGAAAGCCCCCGGCUCAACCGGGGAGGGUCAUUGGAAACUGGGGAACUUGAGUGCAGAAGAGGAGAGUGGAAUUCCACGUGUAGCGGUGAAAUGCGUAUAGAUGUGGAAGAACACCAGUGGCGAAGGCGACUCUCUGGUCUGUAACUGACGCUGAGGAGCGAAAGCGUGAGGAGCGAACAGGAUUAGAUACUCUGGUAGUCCACGCCGUAAACGAUGAGUGCUAAGUGUUAUGGGGUUUCCGCCCCUUAGUGCUGCAGCUAACGCAUUAAGCACUCCGCCUGGGGAGUACGUGUCGCAAGACUGAAACUCAAAGGAAUUUGACAGGGGCUGAAACUCAAAGGAAUUGACGGGGGCCCGCACAAGCGGUGGAGCAUGUGGUUUAAUUCGAAGCAACGCGAAGAACCUUACCAGGUCUUGACAUCCUCUGACAAUCCUAGAGAUAGGACGUCCCCUUCGGGGGCAGAGUGACAGGUGGUGCAUGGUUGUCGUCAGCUCGUGUCGUGAGAUGUUGGGUUAAGUCCCGCAACGAGCGCAACCCUUGAUCUUAGUUGCCAGCAUUCAGUUGGGCACUCUAAGGUGACUGCCGGUGACAAACCGGAGGAAGGUGGGGAUGACGUCAAAUCAUCAUGCCCCUUAUGACCUGGGCUACACACGUGCUACAAUGGACAGAACAAAGGGCAGCGAAACCGCGAGGUUAAGCCAAUCCCACAAAUCUGUUCUCAGUUCGGAUCGCAGUCUGCAACUCGACUGCGUGAAGCUGGAAUCGCUAGUAAUCGCGGAUCAGCAUGCCGCGGUGAAUACGUUCCCGGGCCUUGUACACACCGCCCGUCACACCACGAGAGUUUGUAACACCCGAAGUCGGUGAGGUACCCUUUUAGGGGCCCAGCCGC
This 1448-nucleotide ribosomal RNA is filed under the name Bacillus stercoris. Its description in RNAcentral is "bacterial SSU rRNA". It matches the Rfam family "Bacterial small subunit ribosomal RNA". Lineage: Bacteria; Bacillati; Bacillota; Bacilli; Caryophanales; Bacillaceae. The record is from RNAcentral.